AAUGGAGGAAACUCUGAUGCAGCGAUGCCGCGUGAGUGAAGAAGGCCUUUGGGUUGUAAAGCUCUUUCGUCGGGGAAGAAAAUGACUGUACCCGAAUAAGAAGGUCCGGCUAACUUCGUGCCAGCAGCCGCGGUAAUACGAAGGGACCUAGCGUAGUUCGGAAUUACUGGGCUUAAAGAGUUCGUAGGUGGUUGAAAAAGUUGGUGGUGAAAUCCCAGAGCUUAACUCUGGAACUGCCAUCAAAACUUCUCAGCUAGAGUAUGAUAGAGGAAAGCAGAAUUUCUAGUGUAGAGGUGAAAUUCGUAGAUAUUAGAAAGAAUACCAAUUGCGAAGGCAGCUUUCUGGAUCAUUACUGACACUGAGGAACGAAAGCAUGGGUAGCGAAGAGGAUU
Molecule: ribosomal RNA, 392 nt
Filed under: uncultured Gammaproteobacteria bacterium
Lineage: Bacteria; Pseudomonadati; Pseudomonadota; Gammaproteobacteria
Description: bacterial SSU rRNA
Rfam family: Bacterial small subunit ribosomal RNA
Source: RNAcentral